AACUCAAGGCCAACAGGAGACUCUUUCUGAUACUUCUAAGACUUUCAUCUAAUUUAGACCCACCCAGGAUAAUUUCCUUUUUGAUCAACUCAAAAUCGACUGAUUUGCAAAAUCCCUUAACCUGGACGCAGUGGCUCACACCUUUAAUCCCAGCACUUUGGGAGGCUGAGGCAGGUGGAUCACUUGAGGUCAGGAGUUCCAGACCAGUCUGGCCAACAUGCUGAAACCCUGUCUCUGCUAAAAAUACAAAAAUUAGCCAGGCAUGGUGACAGGCACCUGUAGUUCCAGCUACUUGGGAGGCUGAGGCAAGAGAAUCGCUUGAACCCAGGAGGAGGAGGUUGCAGUGAGCCGAGAUUGCACCAUUGCACCCUAGGCUGGGCAACAGAGAGACUCCAUCUCAAAAAAAAAAAAAAAAAAAAGCCCUUAACCUUUUCCAUAAUACAAACCUUAAUCACAGGAAUGGCACCCAUCAUAUUCAUAGGUCCUGCUUGUCUUCAAAGGGAGGAAACCAUACAAGGGCCUGGGUCACUGGGAGGUCAUCUUAGAGAUCUGCCUGCCACAGGACCCCAAAAAAUGUGUCGGCUGAAAGAAGGAGUGAAGGCAUGUGUCCCAUUUGUCUUCACACUCCGAGUAAAACAUGGAAAAACAAAUCAAAACAUCUUCAGACUACAGACUUGUCUUUCUUUGUGUGAAUAGAGCAUUCUUUAUCCAAUUCCUUGUGGCUUGAAGUUUUCUUCUUGUUUGCCUUUCGACAUUUUUUAUGGCAAGUAUAUUUGUAUUAAUACUUUAUAUAUGAUAAAUGAUGAGCAUUUUCUUCUGUUUCUUUCAUUUUUUCUUUUUCUGAGAUAGGAUCUUUCAUCCAGACUGGAGUGUAGUGGUGGAACACAGCUCACUGCAGUCUCAGCCUGCUGGGCUUAAGCAAUCCUCCCACCUCAGCCUCUCAAGUAGCUCAGGCCACAGGUACCCCCACAUCCAGCUUUUUAUUUAUUUAUUGAGAAAGAGUCUUGCUCUGUCACCUAGGCUGGAGUGCAAUGGUAUGAUCUCAGCUCACUGCAACCUCCAACUCCCAGGUUCAAGCAAUUCUCAUACCUCCUCCCAAGUAGCUGAGAUUGGGUACCCACCGCCACGCCCGGAUAAUAUUUUGUAUUUUUAGUAGAAAUGGGGUUUCACCAUGUUGGCCAGGCUGGUCUCGAACUCCUGACCUCAGGGACCUCAGGUGAUCUACCUACCUCGGCCUCCCAAAGUGCUGGGAUUAUAGGCAUGGGCCACUGCACCCAGCCCCAGCUAAUUUUUUAAAAAUGUUUUUGUAGUGACAGGGUCUUGCUAUGUUGCCCAGACUGGUCUCAAACUCCUAGGCUCAAGCAAUCCUCCUGCCUCAGCCUCUGAAAAUGCUGGGAUUACAGGCCUGAGCCAAUGUACCUGGCCAUGAUGAGCUUUGUCUUAGAAACUGCUGGCGCUAGGUACUUUCUUAUUGGCAUUGCAACA
RNAcentral lists this long non-coding RNA (1485 nucleotides) under Macaca mulatta (Rhesus monkey). RNAcentral's name for it is "lncRNA (ENSMMUG00000050340.1)". Lineage: Eukaryota; Metazoa; Chordata; Mammalia; Primates; Cercopithecidae. The record is from RNAcentral.